GAUGAACGCUGGCGGCGUGCCUAAUACAUGCAAGUCGAGCGACCGGACGAUAAGCUUGCUUCUCUGAUGUUAGCGGCGGACGGGUGAGUAACACGUGGAUCACCUACCUAUUAUACUUGGAUAACUUCGGGAAACCGGAGCUACUACCGGCUAAUAUUUUGAACCGCAUGGUUCAAAAGUUAAAGACGGUCUUGCUGUCACUUAUAGAUGGAUCCGCGCUGCAUUAGCUAGUUGGUAAGGUAACGGCUUACCAAGGCAACGAUGCAUAUCCGACCUGAGAGGGUGAUCGGCCACACUGGAACUGAGACACGGUCCAGACUCCUACGGGAGGCAGCAGUAGGGAAUCUUCCGCAAUGGGCGAAAGCCUGACGGAGCAACGCCGCGUGAGUGAUGAAGGUCUUCGGAUCGUAAAACUCUGUUAUUAGGGAAGAACAGAUGUGUAAGUAACUGUGCACAUCUUGACGGUACCUAAUCAGAAAGCAACGGCUAACUACGUG
Molecule: ribosomal RNA, 497 nt
Filed under: uncultured bacterium
Lineage: Bacteria
Description: partial 16S ribosomal RNA
Rfam family: Bacterial small subunit ribosomal RNA
Source: RNAcentral